GACGAACGCUGGCGGCGUGCUUAACACAUGCAAGUCGAACGGUGAACUCCUCUUGCGUGGGGAUCAGUGGCGAACGGGUGAGUAACACGUGGGCAACCUUCCCUCAGCUCUUUGAUAACUCCAAUAAAUUAGGGCUAAUACCGGAUAUGACCGCUGACCGCAUCGUGUGGUGGCGGAAAGAUUUAUCGGCUGGGGAUGGGCCCGCGGCCUAUCAGCUUGUUGGUGGUGUAGUGGCCUACCAAGGCGACGACGGGUAGCCGGCCUGAGAGGGUGACCGGCCACACUGGGACUGAGACACGGACCAGACUCCUACGGGAGGCAGCAGUGGGGAAUAUUGCGCAAUGGGCGCAAGCCUGACGCAGAGACGCCGCGUGGGGGAUGACGGCCUUCGGGUUGUAAACCUCUUUCAGCAGGGACGAAGCGAAAGUGACGGUACCUGCAGAAGAAGCACCGGCCAACUACGUG
This 465-nucleotide ribosomal RNA is filed under the name uncultured bacterium. RNAcentral's name for it is "partial 16S ribosomal RNA". It matches the Rfam family "Bacterial small subunit ribosomal RNA", at positions 28 to 507 of the family's 1533-position model. The record is from RNAcentral.